GGGCUGGGGCUCAGUGGUAGAGUGCUUGCCUAGCAUAUGCAAGGCCUUGGGUUCAAUCCUCAGCACCACG
Molecule: transfer RNA, 70 nt
Filed under: Marmota monax (woodchuck)
Lineage: Eukaryota; Metazoa; Chordata; Mammalia; Rodentia; Sciuridae
Description: tRNA.Ala
Source: RNAcentral